GUGGCAGUAGCUCAAUGGUAGAGCUCCCGCUUCGCACAUGGGAAGACCUGGGUUGGAUUCCCGGCUGCUUCC
This is a transfer RNA of Toxocara canis (dog roundworm), 72 nucleotides long. It matches the Rfam family "tRNA". Rfam says of the family: Transfer RNA (tRNA) molecules are approximately 80 nucleotides in length. Their secondary structure includes four short double-helical elements and three loops (D, anti-codon, and T loops). NCBI's taxonomy places the organism in Eukaryota, Metazoa, Nematoda, Chromadorea, Rhabditida, Toxocaridae. The record is from Rfam.